AACGAACGCUGGCGGCAUGCCUAACACAUGCAAGUCGAACGAGACCUUCGGGUCUAGUGGCGCACGGGUGCGUAACGCGUGGGAACCUGCCCUUAGGUUCGGAAUAACUCCCCGAAAGGGGUGCUAAUACCGCAUAAUUUCUUCGGACCAAAGAUUUAUCGCCUGUGGAUGGGCCCGCGUUGGAUUAGCUAGUUGGUAGGGUAAAAGCCUGCCAAGGCGACGAUCCAUAGCUGGUCUGAGAGGAUGAUCAGCCACACUGGGACUGAGACACGGCCCAGACUCCUACGGGAGGCAGCAGUGGGGAAUAUUGGACAAUGGGCGAAAGCCUGAUCCAGCAAUGCCGCGUGAGUGAUGAAGGCCUUAGGGUUGUAAAGCUCUUUUACCCGGGAUGAUAAUGACAGUACCGGGAGAAUAAGCACCGGCUAACUCCGUG
RNAcentral lists this ribosomal RNA (433 nucleotides) under uncultured bacterium. RNAcentral describes it as "partial 16S ribosomal RNA". It matches the Rfam family "Bacterial small subunit ribosomal RNA", at positions 29 to 507 of the family's 1533-position model. The record is from RNAcentral.